Molecule: ribosomal RNA, 380 nt
Filed under: uncultured bacterium
Lineage: Bacteria
Description: bacterial SSU rRNA
Rfam family: Archaeal small subunit ribosomal RNA
Source: RNAcentral
GCGCGAAAACUUUACAAUGCGCGAAAUCGUGAUAAGGGAACCCCGAGUGCCCGUAAAUUCGGGCUGUCCAUCAGCGUAAAAAACUGGUGAAGAAAGGGCCGGGCAAGACCGGUGCCAGCCGCCGCGGUAAUACCGGCGGCUCGAGUGGUGGCCACUAUUACUGGGCUUAAAGCGUCCGUAGCUGGAUUGUUAAGUCUCUUGGGAAAUCCGCCGGCUUAACCGGCGGGCGUUCAGGAGAAACUGGCAAUCUAGGGACCGGGAGAGGUGAGAGGUACUCCAGGGGUAGGAGGGAAAUACUGUAAGACUUGGGGGAGCACCGGUGGCGAAGGGGUCUCACUAGAACGGCUCCGACAGUGAGGGACGAAAGCUGGGGGAGCAAA